CAUCUAAAGGCACCAACCCUUGGUGCUUUUAGAUUUCUAGCCCUUAGAUUUAUCUUUCGACUACUAGUAGCCUUUAGAUCAAAUACUAUUUCAUAUACCACCACUAAAUCCAAGUGGGCUACUAUCAUCGUAGCCCUACAAACACCUCCAUCUAAGAGCUAGAAAUCUAAAAGUACCAACCUUUUGAUACUUUUAGAAGUAUUUUAGCUCAAUUAUAUAUAUUUCGAAAGAGAGAGAGAGAGAGAGAAUCGGGCUAUUAUAUUCUUAUAAAUACUGAGGCCUUCGUACUUGUAAGUCGUUUUUUAUGACAGAGCUUUUGAAUUGAUGAUCUAUACCGUUAAAUAUGAUUAAAAAUAUUUUGAAGUAUUUAGA
Molecule: long non-coding RNA, 372 nt
Filed under: Ananas comosus (pineapple)
Lineage: Eukaryota; Viridiplantae; Streptophyta; Magnoliopsida; Poales; Bromeliaceae
Description: long non-coding RNA (ACOM_LNC040392)
Source: RNAcentral